UACGUAGGGUGCGAGCGUUAUUCGGAAUUACUGGGCGUAAAGCGUGCGCAGGCGGUCUGUUAAGACCGAUGUGAAAUCCCCGGGCUUAACCUGGGAACUGCAUUGGUGACUGGCAGGCUUUGAGUGUGGCAGAGGGAGGUAGAAUUCCACGUGUAGCAGUGAAAUGCGUAGAGAUGUGGAGGAAUACCGAUGGCGAAGGCAGCCUCCUGGGCCAACACUGACGCUCAGGCACGAAAGCGUGGGGAGCAAACAGG
RNAcentral lists this ribosomal RNA (254 nucleotides) under uncultured bacterium. RNAcentral's name for it is "partial 16S ribosomal RNA". It matches the Rfam family "Bacterial small subunit ribosomal RNA", at positions 524 to 776 of the family's 1533-position model. The record is from RNAcentral.